CCCAGGCUUUUAUUACCUUCUUCUGGUUCUCAUUGUCUACCCUCAGCCAAUCACGCUGUCGAACUGAAAAUUCUAAACCUGCCGCUAACCAACCAGAAUGUGCCUUGCUUUCUGUCCUUUUGCAUACGGAGUGUUCUAUCUCCAACGCCGCCUCAGUUGUCAGUUGAGCUUCCUCAGCGGCAGUUAAACCGAAUUUUACUCGGUUUCCCCCAUCAAACACAUGACAAUACAAAUGACAGAAUACGUGGCAAUGCCCAUUAACCGUUUCAGCUAAACAGGGUUUCUUCACAAAUACCACUAUGUAUGAAAACUGGGAUGGACCGUAGUUAGCUCAAUGGGGAUAAAGAAAAGCGAAUGAAGCUGUGGAAAUUCUGAAUUGUCUGUGAUCAGCAUGGAGACCAGAAAACAGAAGCUCAAUCCAGACCAGGUCAUUAACAAAACACCUGGAAGAAGACUGUCCCACUUCUUAAUCAGAAUUGGAGUCCUCCACCACAGCAGUUUGUAAAAGCAAAAAAAAAGAGAGACACUUGGUGAUGCAGUUGGGCUCUCCUGGUAUGGAAGAUGACAACUGGAGGAAGACUUUGGACUACAUCAAUCAAAGCAAGCAAGCACAUGUAAAAUCAAUAUGCCAACAGAGAUUUGCAAUUAGCAAUAAGCUGCUAGAGUGAAGAUCAUUUGUUGUCUUGCACAUUUGUUCGAUUGCAAACAGGCAGAAUACUGAAAAAUCCAGAAUUAACUUAAAACAUGCAAUGCUCAUUGAAGUUGAUGGGUUUCUGCAUGCAAAAGCCUUUUUGCAUUGGUAAAGAAUUUAUAGCUCAGCCACCAGGGGUAGCCAACAUUACCUUACUAAUACGGUCAACCUGAGCAAGAGAUAAAUGACAUCUUGCCAGCAGAAAUUAACUCUACUGAGGGUUAAGCUCCCUCGCUUCUCAUUGCCUCAUAUGCCCUAAAGGUAUAUAUAUAUUUGACUCAAGAUGAAGUAUUAUUAAAUAUCAAACUUAAAAGCUUGCCGAAUAACAACAAAAUAAUUGAUCUUUCAAUCCAGUAACGAAAAACAAUUCCAGUUACUACAAAUUAACACCCAUAAUACAUCACAACUUCCCAGAACAUUCAAAAUCUUCUUUCUUAAGGAAUUAAUAUUUUCCGCAAGCUAGUUUUCAGAUGGAAUUCUAUAAUCAGUUAUAUAGCAGAAACCUAAACUGGUUUCAGUGGGAGUAAGUGAACAGAGCAGAAUGCAAGGCUUUCAUUUAUAGCCUUUGCAAAAUUAAGCAAGAUCAUAGGGAUAUAAAAAACACAUUAAGCAGACCCUAACUCUACUUACCUGGGAGUAAAUUGAAUUCAAUGCAACUUGCUCCCGAGCACACAUGCUUACAAAUGCACUUUGAGGCUACAAAGCCAAUACACAUUCACCUGGGAGUAAGCCUCAUUGAACUUAUUUGGUCUUAUUCCUAAGUGGACAUGCAUAGGACUGCACGAUCACAAAGAGUUUUUCAGAGUAUUCCAAAAUUAGAAAAUUACAACAGGAUUUAAUGGGGGGGGGGGAAGGAUGGGCAAUAUAACUACAGAUUCUCUCCCAAAAUAGGUACUUUCCAGAUUUGUUGGGCUAUAAUCAGCAAGUAUUUCCCUUGCUGGAAAGAACUGACGCUAAACUAUUUUCUCCUUUAACUGACUUUGCUUUGGGAUAAAUCAUCUUAUUUCAGCAAGUAAAUUACAAAUCCAUAAGCAAUGCUCUGAGAUCUUCUGUCACAUUAAACUCAAAUGGUUACUUUCUUGCAGUUAAAAACAAUUUUCAAAGUACUGGAAAUGCUCAUCAGCAUCACAUUAAUAGGAGUCAAAUACUUCUAACUAGCAUUUCUGCUUCCGCCAGAAAAGAAAUGUGACGCAAACUAAUUUCUUUCUUAUAGCUCAGGUCUACUUCUCUGGAACAUUCCCUUUCCACUGAAUCAUGUACCCCUUGAGAGAAGAGGACUCCGUCAUUCUUAAAUUUGCUUGUAUGAGAUGCCCAGAAGAACCACAACCACUAAGUGCAAAAGGCAACUGACAUACUGAAUUAUCAACACACUAAAAUUGACAAUCUCAGGGUCCUCUUCAUGUCUCUCCUGAAAAAGAAUUGUUUAGUGCCAGUUAUACACACAAAACACACAUGUGACAGGGACCCUUCCCCUGGAAGACUUCACAUUCUACAUCAAGACUGGAACUAGACCAAGAUCUGAGAAUUUGUGAGGAACAGGCCCCAUGAGGAGGGACAUCCAGACAACUGAGGGGCAGGUGGGACAAGCCUAGGUUGGAUUUUCCCUGAUAAAAGGAGGGCGUUGACUACUCAGUCAGUUAAAGCCUUUUUGGGAUUGGCUUGCACCCAGGCAGUCUGGAGCUUGCAAAAGCACAUAUAUAUGUGUGUGCAACAGGCAUGGGUCAGUCAUACAAGCCAGAAAGCGGUUCUCAAAGACCAACAGGCAGGGCACUUCAAAGUCAUAGCAGAUUAACUGUUGUCGCGGCUUUUCUUUUUUAGUGGCAGCAGGAAGCACUGACGGGACAUUGGCAAGAACCCAUGCAAGGCAAGCUUUAUCACAAUAAUGGUUUACAGAACAUUCCCUGUGCUCCCAACACUAUAGCUUAAUUUCAAACACUGGAAGGUUCGAGCUCAAGAUGGCGCCUUAACUUGCAGAAUGUGUUGCUAAUGUAAGGACUGGACUAGUGCCUUUCAUUGCAAGAAGCAUUUGCACUGCCUGACAUGCCCAAUGGAAGCUUUUCUGUUGCUGCUGCCAAUAUUUCAUGAACACAUAUUAUGGAUAACAAUGCUGUAAACACAGACUUGCCAGCAGGCUCCACUGAUCUGAGCAGGACUUAAUACUGAGUAAAAUUACUCAGUUACUGA
Podarcis muralis (Common wall lizard) is the source of this 2875-nucleotide non-coding RNA. NCBI's taxonomy places the organism in Eukaryota, Metazoa, Chordata, Lepidosauria, Squamata, Lacertidae. The record is from RefSeq and is a predicted model, not a curated record.